RNAcentral lists this ribosomal RNA (2906 nucleotides) under Escherichia coli. RNAcentral's name for it is "23S ribosomal RNA". It matches the Rfam family "Bacterial large subunit ribosomal RNA". The record is from RNAcentral. Lineage: Bacteria; Pseudomonadati; Pseudomonadota; Gammaproteobacteria; Enterobacterales; Enterobacteriaceae.
GGUUAAGCGACUAAGCGUACACGGUGGAUGCCCUGGCAGUCAGAGGCGAUGAAGGACGUGCUAAUCUGCGAUAAGCGUCGGUAAGGUGAUAUGAACCGUUAUAACCGGCGAUUUCCGAAUGGGGAAACCCAGUGUGUUUCGACACACUAUCAUUAACUGAAUCCAUAGGUUAAUGAGGCGAACCGGGGGAACUGAAACAUCUAAGUACCCCGAGGAAAAGAAAUCAACCGAGAUUCCCCCAGUAGCGGCGAGCGAACGGGGAGCAGCCCAGAGCCUGAAUCAGUAUGUGUGUUAGUGGAAGCGUCUGGAAAGGCGCGCGAUACAGGGUGACAGCCCCGUACACAAAAAUGCACAUAUUGUGAGCUCGAUGAGUAGGGCGGGACACGUGGUAUCCUGUCUGAAUAUGGGGGGACCAUCCUCCAAGGCUAAAUACUCCUGACUGACCGAUAGUGAACCAGUACCGUGAGGGAAAGGCGAAAAGAACCCCGGCGAGGGGAGUGAAAAAGAACCUGAAACCGUGUACGUACAAGCAGUGGGAGCACGCUUAGGCGUGUGACUGCGUACCUUUUGUAUAAUGGGUCAGCGACUUAUAUUCUGUAGCAAGGUUAACCGAAUAGGGGAGCCGAAGGGAAACCGAGUCUUAACUGGGCGUUAAGUUGCAGGGUAUAGACCCGAAACCCGGUGAUCUAGCCAUGGGCAGGUUGAAGGUUGGGUAACACUAACUGGAGGACCGAACCGACUAAUGUUGAAAAAUUAGCGGAUGACUUGUGGCUGGGGGUGAAAGGCCAAUCAAACCGGGAGAUAGCUGGUUCUCCCCGAAAGCUAUUUAGGUAGCGCCUCGUGAAUUCAUCUCCGGGGGUAGAGCACUGUUUCGGCAAGGGGGUCAUCCCGACUUACCAACCCGAUGCAAACUGCGAAUACCGGAGAAUGUUAUCACGGGAGACACACGGCGGGUGCUAACGUCCGUCGUGAAGAGGGAAACAACCCAGACCGCCAGCUAAGGUCCCAAAGUCAUGGUUAAGUGGGAAACGAUGUGGGAAGGCCCAGACAGCCAGGAUGUUGGCUUAGAAGCAGCCAUCAUUUAAAGAAAGCGUAAUAGCUCACUGGUCGAGUCGGCCUGCGCGGAAGAUGUAACGGGGCUAAACCAUGCACCGAAGCUGCGGCAGCGACGCUGAUGCGUUGUUGGGUAGGGGAGCGUUCUGUAAGCCUGCGAAGGUGUGCUGUGAGGCAUGCUGGAGGUAUCAGAAGUGCGAAUGCUGACAUAAGUAACGAUAAAGCGGGUGAAAAGCCCGCUCGCCGGAAGACCAAGGGUUCCUGUCCAACGUUAAUCGGGGCAGGGUGAGUCGACCCCUAAGGCGAGGCCGAAAGGCGUAGUCGAUGGGAAACAGGUUAAUAUUCCUGUACUUGGUGUUACUGCGAAGGGGGGACGGAGAAGGCUAUGUUGGCCGGGCGACGGUUGUCCCGGUUUAAGCGUGUAGGCUGGUUUUCCAGGCAAAUCCGGAAAAUCAAGGCUGAGGCGUGAUGACGAGGCACUACGGUGCUGAAGCAACAAAUGCCCUGCUUCCAGGAAAAGCCUCUAAGCAUCAGGUAACAUCAAAUCGUACCCCAAACCGACACAGGUGGUCAGGUAGAGAAUACCAAGGCGCUUGAGAGAACUCGGGUGAAGGAACUAGGCAAAAUGGUGCCGUAACUUCGGGAGAAGGCACGCUGAUAUGUAGGUGAAGUCCCUCGCGGAUGGAGCUGAAAUCAGUCGAAGAUACCAGCUGGCUGCAACUGUUUAUUAAAAACACAGCACUGUGCAAACACGAAAGUGGACGUAUACGGUGUGACGCCUGCCCGGUGCCGGAAGGUUAAUUGAUGGGGUUAGCCGCAAGGCGAAGCUCUUGAUCGAAGCCCCGGUAAACGGCGGCCGUAACUAUAACGGUCCUAAGGUAGCGAAAUUCCUUGUCGGGUAAGUUCCGACCUGCACGAAUGGCGUAAUGAUGGCCAGGCUGUCUCCACCCGAGACUCAGUGAAAUUGAACUCGCUGUGAAGAUGCAGUGUACCCGCGGCAAGACGGAAAGACCCCGUGAACCUUUACUAUAGCUUGACACUGAACAUUGAGCCUUGAUGUGUAGGAUAGGUGGGAGGCUUUGAAGUGUGGACGCCAGUCUGCAUGGAGCCGACCUUGAAAUACCACCCUUUAAUGUUUGAUGUUCUAACGUUGACCCGUAAUCCGGGUUGCGGACAGUGUCUGGUGGGUAGUUUGACUGGGGCGGUCUCCUCCUAAAGAGUAACGGAGGAGCACGAAGGUUGGCUAAUCCUGGUCGGACAUCAGGAGGUUAGUGCAAUGGCAUAAGCCAGCUUGACUGCGAGCGUGACGGCGCGAGCAGGUGCGAAAGCAGGUCAUAGUGAUCCGGUGGUUCUGAAUGGAAGGGCCAUCGCUCAACGGAUAAAAGGUACUCCGGGGAUAACAGGCUGAUACCGCCCAAGAGUUCAUAUCGACGGCGGUGUUUGGCACCUCGAUGUCGGCUCAUCACAUCCUGGGGCUGAAGUAGGUCCCAAGGGUAUGGCUGUUCGCCAUUUAAAGUGGUACGCGAGCUGGGUUUAGAACGUCGUGAGACAGUUCGGUCCCUAUCUGCCGUGGGCGCUGGAGAACUGAGGGGGGCUGCUCCUAGUACGAGAGGACCGGAGUGGACGCAUCACUGGUGUUCGGGUUGUCAUGCCAAUGGCACUGCCCGGUAGCUAAAUGCGGAAGAGAUAAGUGCUGAAAGCAUCUAAGCACGAAACUUGCCCCGAGAUGAGUUCUCCCUGACCCUUUAAGGGUCCUGAAGGAACGUUGAAGACGACGACGUUGAUAGGCCGGGUGUGUAAGCGCAGCGAUGCGUUGAGCUAACCGGUACUAAUGAACCGUGAGGCUUAACCUU